This 75-nucleotide transfer RNA is filed under the name Streptomyces fagopyri. RNAcentral's name for it is "Streptomyces sp. QMT-28 tRNA-Gly". It matches the Rfam family "tRNA". Rfam says of the family: Transfer RNA (tRNA) molecules are approximately 80 nucleotides in length. Their secondary structure includes four short double-helical elements and three loops (D, anti-codon, and T loops). Further hydrogen bonds mediate the characteristic L-shaped molecular structure. tRNAs have two regions of fundamental functional importance: the anti-codon, which is responsible for specific mRNA codon recognition, and the 3' end, to which the tRNAs corresponding amino acid is attached (by aminoacyl-tRNA synthetases). tRNAs cope with the degeneracy of the genetic code in two manners: having more than one tRNA (with a specific anti-codon) for a particular amino acid; and 'wobble' base-pairing, i.e. permitting non-standard base-pairing at the 3rd anti-codon position. The record is from RNAcentral. Lineage: Bacteria; Bacillati; Actinomycetota; Actinomycetes; Kitasatosporales; Streptomycetaceae.
CGGGGCCGUAGCGCAGAGGCAGGCGCGAUUGGUCUCCCAAACCAGAGCACGCUGGUUCGAAUCCAGCCGCCUCGC